RNA transcript from Thalassophryne amazonica, 3026 nucleotides. It is a transcript of the gene named thyrotropin-releasing hormone receptor a, with no coding region annotated. Lineage: Eukaryota; Metazoa; Chordata; Actinopteri; Batrachoidiformes; Batrachoididae. The transcript is spliced from 3 exons. The record is from RefSeq and is a predicted model, not a curated record.
GCUCCUCAGAUCCACUUUUUAAUUUCACCCACGCACGCUGUCUUGGGGACCAAACGCAUUUGAUGGACGCGCAUUUUGAGAAGCGGGACUUGGUGAAGGUGGGCGACCUUUGGAGGAAGUUUUUCAGCGGGCGGUCUGGAUCUACUUUUGGAGUCUGGUGUUAGUUUCCUCGCAGCAUGGAUAAUCUGACCGUGCACGGUAACGUGAGCGUGGACAAUGACACGUCCCUGCUGGACAAUCGCACCCUGGGCGUUUGGAGCGACUAUGUCGUUGAAUACAAAGUGGUGAGCGUCCUUUUGGUGACUAUCAUAUGCGGGGUGGGCAUCGUGGGGAACAUCAUGGUCAUCAUCGUGGUGCUGACCACCAAGCACAUGCGGACCCCCACCAACUGCUACCUGGUGAGCCUGGCGGCGGCUGACCUGAUGGUGCUGACGGCCGCCGGGCUGCCCAACAUCACGGACGCGCUGUACGCGCAGUGGGUGUACGGUUACGCGGGCUGCCUGGGCAUCACAUACUUCCAGUACCUGGGGAUCAACGCGUCCUCCUGCUCCAUCACCGCCUUCACCGUGGAGCGGUACAUCGCCAUCUGCCACCCCAUCAAAGCGCAGUUCCUGUGCACUUUGUCCAGAGCCAAGAAGAUCAUCCUGCUGGUCUGGGCGCUCACCUCCGUCUACUGCGUCAUGUGGCUGUUUCUGUCCGACACCACCAAGCAGGUGUACGACAACGCGGUGAUGCUCAGCUGUGGUUACAAGGUGUCCAGGAGUUACUACCUGCCCAUUUACUUCACGGACUUCACGGUGUUCUACGUGCUGCCGCUCCUGCUGGCCACCGUGCUGUACGGGCUGAUCGCCAGGAUCCUCUUCCUGAACCCGCUGCCUUCAGAGCCCAAAGGCGGCAGCAAGAAGUGGAAGAAGGACACGCAGGGGGCCCGGAUGGUCGGGACCAGCUCCUGCAGCAGCGCCACGGCAUCUUCUCGCAGACAGGUGACAAAGAUGCUGGCUGUAGUGGUGAUCCUCUUUGCCGUACUUUGGAUGCCCUAUCGGACCUUAGUGGUGGUUAACUCCUUCCUGAAUAAGCCCUACCUCGACAAGUGGUUUCUACUUUUCUGCCGCCUCUGCAUCUACUUAAACAGCGCCAUCAACCCGAUCGUUUACAACGCUAUGUCACAGAAGUUCCGUGCUGCCUUCAAGAAGUUGUGUCACUGCGGCCCUCAGCGUAUGGAAAAACCAGCUUCCUGCACCGUGGCGCUCACCUACACUGUCAUCAAGGACACAUCCAACGGGGAGAGCCCUGAUCACUUCACGACAAAAAUGGAUGAGCUGAACACACCGACAGAUCAUUUUGUACGGGCCAACAUCUUACCGACGGGCAACAUGACGCUGUACGAGGACACUUUUGUCAGGGAGUAGGUUGAAUCUGGACUGAACAUGCCUGAAGAAGUGAAAACCAAAACGGAUGCAAUGACAUCAGUCACCAUUUUUGGCCUUUGAGUUUUCUGUGCAAUGUAAGUGAAGGAAGUGAAGCAUCAGUGACGUCUGGUCCGUGUUUAACAACCAUAUUUAUCAGUUCGAAAGAAAGAAAGAAAAAAAAUCCUUUUGUGCUUAAUGGAUGGGAUAUGAUAUAACCAUCCUUUCAGGAGGGAUACUUGAAUGGACACAGAAGACAAACGGCGGAUGAGAGGACUUUGUCAUCAAGGUGAUUCACCCUUUGCAAACAUGCACCCCGAUGUGUGAUGUACAACAUUAUGAACCUUCAGGAACAGACAUCAUUGUGACAUCACUGCUAAUUUUUACAGAAGAAGAAAAAAAAAGCGUUGUUUUUGUUGUUUCCGACCAGAGAGCGUGUAAUCCCAGUGAAUCAAAAUGCAAUUACAACCACAGUGUGAUGGAGCAAGCACAGAUACGGAAUUACAUGACUUUUUCAAAAAGGUCAAAAUCCAGAAAGAGAGUGAUGUCAUCACAACGACACGCCAGUAAUCUCCAUUUGAUCGAUUUAUUCACCUCGAAAUGUAGAAUUUGAAUGCUUUCUGUGAGGGCAUCAGGUUUCGAGUGAAAGACCUGUCAGAGCGGACUUGGGCUUUGAUCACUGUGGACUCUCAGGAGCCUGUGAAGAGUUGGGAGCUUCCGAACAGGCUUCUGGAAGUGGUUUGAGGGAAGACUUCAUUGAUGGCCAAGUGGUUAGUGUGCUUGGAUUCAGUGCGGAAGGUUCCCGGUUUGAACCCCACCCCUGCCAUAUUUCUCCAUGAAGGGCAUCCAGUGUAAAACCUCUGAUGAUUUAUCUUUAUAUUUAUUGUCACUGUACUUUAAGCACAAUGAAAUUAAAAAAGCAAUCUCAGCUCUAAGUGCAUAUACACAUAAUAAAUAAAUAAUUACCAAUAUAAUACUAAGUAAUAUUAAAUGAUUAAAAGUUUAAAAGCAGUCACACCCAACAGCAGCUGCAUAAAAGGAAUUAUUUCACAUUUGCAUUAAGUGCACAAAUGGCUCUUGCAUAAAAAAACACUUUUCAAUCUGUUUGUUCUUGCUUUCAGUGUCCUGCACCAUCUGCCAGAUGGCAGCGGUUCAAACAGAUGAUGACCGGGGUGAAAGAGGUCUCUGACUAUACGUAUUUUUUGCCUUCCUGAGGCAGCGACGGGUGUACAGUUCCUCUACUGAAAACACAGGACAGCAGAUAAUCUUCUGGACUGUGGUGACGACCCUGUGGAGAGCUUUCCUGUCUGCAGCCGUGCAGCUGGAAAACCACACACACAGACAGUAAGUCAGAAAGCUCUCUUUGGAACAGCAAUGGGAGGCCACCAGCAGUCUCUGUGGAAGGUAAAUAAUCCCGAGAACUCCCGAGUCUCUGCUGUGCCUUCUUGAUGGUGGCCGUGGUGUUAGUGCUCCAAGUCAGGUUGUCUCUCAAGAACAUGCCCAGAAACCAAAAGUCAGAGACCCUCUUCAAACAAUCCCCACCAAUAACCAGUGGUUGAAAGUCCAUAUUCCUCCUCCUGUAAUCCACCACCAUCUCAUUUGUCUUAGAGGUGUUCAGGA